Non-coding RNA from Schistosoma mansoni, 46 nucleotides. Lineage: Eukaryota; Metazoa; Platyhelminthes; Trematoda; Strigeidida; Schistosomatidae. The record is from Rfam.
GCACAGCUGAAGAGUCUCACAAUAAGACGAAAUAGCCGUCCAGUGC